ACGGGGAGCAGCAGGCGCGAAACCUUUACAUCUGCCGCCGUGCGAUAGGGGACCCCGAGUGCGAGGGCAUACAGUCCUCGCUUUUCGUGACCGUAAGGUGGUCACAGAAUAAGAGCUGGGCAAGACCGGUGCCAGCCGCCGCGGUAAUACCGGCAGCUCGAGUGAUAGCCACUAUUAUUGGGCCUAAAGCGUCCGUAGCCGGCCGAACAGGUCCGUCGGGAAAUCCACCCGCUCAACGGGUGGACGUCCGGCGGAAACCAGUCGGCUUGGGGCCGGGAGACCAGAGAGGUACGUCCGGGGUAGGAGUGAAAUCCUGUAAUCCUGGACGGACCGCCGAUGGGGAAACCACCUCAGGAGGACGGAUCCGACGGUGAGGGACGAAAGCUAGGGUCUCGAACCGGAUUAGAUACCCGGGUAGUCCUAGCUGUAAACGAUGUCUGCUAGGUGUGGCACAGGCUACGAGCCUGUGCUGUGCCGUAGGGAAGCCGAGAAGCAGACCGCCUGGGAAGUACGUCCGCAAGGAUGAAACUUAAAGGAAUUGGCGGGGGAGCAC
This 553-nucleotide ribosomal RNA is filed under the name uncultured Halobacterium sp. RNAcentral describes it as "bacterial SSU rRNA". It matches the Rfam family "Archaeal small subunit ribosomal RNA", at positions 325 to 879 of the family's 1478-position model. The record is from RNAcentral. Lineage: Archaea; Methanobacteriati; Methanobacteriota; Halobacteria; Halobacteriales; Halobacteriaceae.